This 474-nucleotide ribosomal RNA is filed under the name uncultured bacterium. Its description in RNAcentral is "bacterial SSU rRNA". It matches the Rfam family "Bacterial small subunit ribosomal RNA", at positions 43 to 524 of the family's 1533-position model. The record is from RNAcentral.
CAGGCCUAACACAUGCAAGUCGAACGGUGGCAGCAAUGCCAUAGUGGCGCACGGGUGCGUAACACGUAACUAACCUGCCCAGACCUGGGGGAUAGCCCGCCGAAAGGCGGAUUAAUACCGCAUAAGAUAAUAAGGUGGCAUCACCUAGUUAUUAAAGAUUUAUCGGGUUUGGAUGGGGUUGCGGGUCAUUAGCUAGUUGGUAAGGUAAUGGCUUACCAAGGCGACGAUGACUAGGGGAGCUGAGAGGCUGGUCCCCCACACGGGCACUGAGAUACGGGCCCGACUCCUACGGGAGGCAGCAGUAGGGAAUAUUGGGCAAUGGGCGAGAGCCUGACCCAGCCAUGCCGCGUGCAGGAAGAAGGCUUUCUGAGUCGUAAACUGCUUUUGAUAGGGAAGAAUCACCAGUACGUGUACUGGAAUGACGGUACGGACAGGAUAAGCACCGGCUAACUCCGUGCCAGCAGCCGCGGUAAU